AUUGAACGCUGGCGGUAUGCUUUACACAUGCAAGUCGAACGGCAGCGGGGAGGAGCUUGCUUCUCUGCCGGCGAGUGGCGAACGGGUGAGUAAUACAUCGGAACGUGUCGAGAAGAGGGGGAUAACCACCCGAAAGGGUGGCUAAUACCGCAUAAAUUCUGAGGAAGAAAGCUGGGGACCUGGGAAUAGGCCUAGCGCUUUUUGAGCGGCCGAUGUCGGAUUAGCUAGUUGGUGAGGUAAAGGCUCACCAAGGCGAAGAUCUGUAGCGGGUCUGAGAGGAUGAGGCGCCAAACGGGGAGUGAGAGACGGAACAGACUCCAACGGGGGCCAGCAGUGGGGAAUUUUGGACAAUGGGGGGAACCGUGAUCCAUCCAUGCAGCAGGUAUGAAGAAGGACUUAGGAAUGUAAAGUACUUUUGUUAGGGAAGAAAAGACAGCUGUGAAUAAUGGCUGAGCCUGACGGUACCUAAAGAAUAAGCAAACGCUAACUACGUG
Molecule: ribosomal RNA, 494 nt
Filed under: uncultured bacterium
Lineage: Bacteria
Description: partial 16S ribosomal RNA
Rfam family: Bacterial small subunit ribosomal RNA
Source: RNAcentral